ACGGAAGGCAGCAGUGGGGGAUAUUGCACAAUGGGGGAAACCCUGAUGCAGCGACGCCGCGUGAGUGAAGAAGUAUUUCGGUAUGUAAAGCUCUUUAAGUUGGGAAGAUAAUGACGGUACCAACAGGAUAAGCCCCGGCUAACUACGUGCCAGCAGCCGCGGUAAUACGUAGGGGGCAAGCGUUAUCCGGAUUUACUGGGUGUAAAGGGAGCGUAGACGGCAUAGCAAGUCUGAAGUGAAAUCAUAGGGCUCAACCCUGUAAUUGCUUUGGAAACUGUUAAGCUCGAGUACCGGAGGGGCAGGCGGAAUUCCUGGUGUAGCGGUGAAAUGCGUAGAUAUCAGGAAGAACACCGGUGGCGAAGGCGGCCUGCUGGACGGUAACUGACGUUGAGGCUCGAAAGCGUGGGGAGCAAACAGGAUUAGAUACCCUGGUA
This 434-nucleotide ribosomal RNA is filed under the name uncultured Lachnospiraceae bacterium. RNAcentral's name for it is "partial 16S ribosomal RNA". It matches the Rfam family "Bacterial small subunit ribosomal RNA", at positions 341 to 792 of the family's 1533-position model. Lineage: Bacteria; Bacillati; Bacillota; Clostridia; Lachnospirales; Lachnospiraceae. The record is from RNAcentral.